UACGGGGGGGGCAAGCGUUGUUCGGAAUUACUGGGCGUAAAGGGCUCGUAGGCGGCCCUCUCAGUCGGAUGUGAAAUCCCCAGGCUUAACCUGGGAAUGGCAUCCGAUACUGGAGGGCUUGAAUUCGGGAGAGGGAUGCAGAAUUCCAGGUGUAGCGGUGAAAUGCGUAGAUAUCAGGAGGAACACCGAUGGCGAAGGCAGGUCUCUGGGCCACUACUGACGCUGAGAAGCGAAAGCAUGGGGAGCGAACAGG
This 253-nucleotide ribosomal RNA is filed under the name uncultured bacterium. RNAcentral describes it as "partial 16S ribosomal RNA". It matches the Rfam family "Bacterial small subunit ribosomal RNA", at positions 524 to 776 of the family's 1533-position model. The record is from RNAcentral.